RNAcentral lists this ribosomal RNA (488 nucleotides) under uncultured bacterium. Its description in RNAcentral is "bacterial SSU rRNA". It matches the Rfam family "Bacterial small subunit ribosomal RNA", at positions 30 to 507 of the family's 1533-position model. The record is from RNAcentral.
AUUGAACGCUGGCGGCAGGCCUAACACAUGCAAGUCGAGCGGUAGCACAGAGAGCUUGCUCUCGGGUGACGAGCGGCGGACGGGUGAGUAAUGUUUGGGAAACUGCCUGAUGGAGGGGGAUAACUACUGGAAACGGUAGCUAAUACCGCAUAACGUCGCAAGACCAAAGUGGGGGACCUUCGGGCCUCAUGCCAUCAGAUGUGCCCAGAUGGGAUUAGCUAGUAGGUGGGGUAACGGCUCACCUAGGCGACGAUCCCUAGCUGGUUUGAGAGGAUGACCAGCCACCCUGGAAAUGAGACACGGUCCCGACUCCUACGGGAGGCAGCAGUGGGGAAUAUUGCACAAUGGGCGCAAGCCUGAUGCAGCCCUGCCGCGUGUGUGAAGAAGGCCUUCGGGUUGUAAAGCACUUUCAGCGGGGAGGAAGGCGGUGAGGUUAAUAACCUCAUCGAUUGACGUUACCCGCAGAAGAAGCACCGGCUAACUCCGUG